CCUACGGGGGGCUGCAGUGGGGAAUAUUGGACAAUGGGGGCAACCCUGAUCCAGCCAUGCCGCGUGUGUGAAGAAGGCCCUCGGGUUGUAAAGCACUUUCAGUGAGGAAGAACGCCUGGUGGUUAAUACCCAUCAGGAAAGACAUCACUCACAGAAGAAGCACCGGCUAACUCCGUGCCAGCAGCCGCGGUAAUACGGAGGGUGCGAGCGUUAAUCGGAAUUACUGGGCGUAAAGCGCGCGUAGGUGGCUUGAUAAGCCGGUUGUGAAAGCCCCGGGCUCAACCUGGGAACGGCAUCCGGAACUGUCAAGCUAGAGUGCAGGAGAGGAAGGUAGAAUUCACGGUGUAGCGGUGAAAUGCGUAGAGAUCGGGAGGAAUACCAGUGGCGAAGGCGGCCUUCUGGACUGACACUGACACUGAGGUGCGAAAGCGUGGGUAGCAAACAGGAUUAGAUACCCGAGUAGUC
This 465-nucleotide ribosomal RNA is filed under the name Vreelandella stevensii. Its description in RNAcentral is "partial 16S ribosomal RNA". It matches the Rfam family "Bacterial small subunit ribosomal RNA", at positions 338 to 795 of the family's 1533-position model. Lineage: Bacteria; Pseudomonadati; Pseudomonadota; Gammaproteobacteria; Oceanospirillales; Halomonadaceae. The record is from RNAcentral.